GUGACCAUAGACUGUAGCCCCUACUGUAGCUUAGUCCUCUGCAGUAGGGGGAAGUGACGCAAAACUGUACCUCAUUGGUCCACAACAAAUAUUAUAACAGUGCCCAAAUGACACAAUAAAUCAUGAAAUCGACCCAUGGACAGUCAUAAGACGAAUAAAAUACACAUAUUGUGACUAUUUGUUCUUAUGAGAAAAAAUGAUUGACUUUGUAUCUUGACCGCAUUUGUACCGUAGACAUGGAAACCGGAUAUGAAAACACCUAUACUGGAGCCAACCGUAGUGGCGCUAGUGAGCAACCAGGAACAACAAGACCAGGAAAUGAGCUUCAAAAACGAAGUCUGGUUUUGGCCGCUUGGAGUCACCCUGCGUCAUACAGGAGGGGAACCACACGCUGACUGAAAAUGUCGGACUUUGAGUUUUUGCGUGUUCGAGGGGUCCCAGAGGAAGCCAUUUCAUUAAUGGAAGAGCAAAAGGAUGAACUUGAUGAAGUCGUCAACACAUGGAAUUCACACAAAAUCAGACCAAGAUCAAGUAAUGACGCGGCGUCGGGUCGGCCAGUUGUGAUGUCCUCAUUCCCAGAGUUGCACAGUGCUGAGGAUAGACUCAGAAUGGAUGGGAUGCUCCAGCAUAUCCACUUGCUGCAGCUGAUCUGUACAUCAUGUUAAGAGAGGAAAUACAGAAACAUAUUUGAUCACUGGUACAAAUCCAAUUUUUACUAAAUACAAAGGAAAAUAUGCAGUUUGAGGUGAAGUUUAAAAGAAGAAAACUACAACACAAGACCCCUUAAAAAAUAGCAAAAUUGUAGCUACAUUUUCAUAAAAGGUAAUCAGUGAAAUGUUUUGUUUUUU
Molecule: long non-coding RNA, 848 nt
Organism: Anguilla rostrata (American eel)
Lineage: Eukaryota; Metazoa; Chordata; Actinopteri; Anguilliformes; Anguillidae
Exons: 2
Source: RefSeq, a predicted model, not a curated record